GAUAUGACGAUGGACAUUGCAAAGAGUGGCGAACGGGUGAGUAACACGUGGGAAACCUACCUCUUAGCAGGGGAUAACAUUUGGAAACAGAUGCUAAUACCGUAUAACAAUAGCAACCGCAUGGUUGCUACUUAAAAGAUGGUUCUGCUAUCACUAAGAGAUGGUCCCGCGGUGCAUUAGUUAGUUGGUGAGGUAAUGGCUCACCAAGACGAUGAUGCAUAGCCGAGUUGAGAGACUGAUCGGCCACAAUGGGACUGAGACACGGCCCAUACUCCUACGGGAGGCAGCAGUAGGGAAUCUUCCACAAUGGGCGAAAGCCUGAUGGAGCAACGCCGCGUGUGUGAUGAAGGGUUUCGGCUCGUAAAACACUGUUGUAAGAGAAGAAUGACAUUGAGAGUAACUGUUCAAUGUGUGACGGUAUCUUACCAGAAAGGAACGGCUAAAUACGUGCCAGCAGCCGCGGUAAUACGUAUGUUCCAAGCGUUAUCCGGAUUUAUUGGGCGUAAAGCGAGCGCAGACGGUUAUUUAAGUCUGAAGUGAAAGCCCUCAGCUCAACUGAGGAAUUGCUUUGGAAACUGGAUGACUUGAGUGCAGUAGAGGAAAGUGGAACUCCAUGUGUAGCGGUGAAAUGCGUAGAUAUAUGGAAGAA
This 649-nucleotide ribosomal RNA is filed under the name Weissella cibaria. Its description in RNAcentral is "bacterial SSU rRNA". It matches the Rfam family "Bacterial small subunit ribosomal RNA", at positions 71 to 706 of the family's 1533-position model. Lineage: Bacteria; Bacillati; Bacillota; Bacilli; Lactobacillales; Lactobacillaceae. The record is from RNAcentral.